This 468-nucleotide ribosomal RNA is filed under the name uncultured bacterium. RNAcentral describes it as "partial 16S ribosomal RNA". It matches the Rfam family "Bacterial small subunit ribosomal RNA", at positions 28 to 507 of the family's 1533-position model. The record is from RNAcentral.
GACGAACGCUGGCGGCGUGCUUAACACAUGCAAGUCGAACGGAAAGGCCCUGCUUUUGUGGGGUGCUCGAGUGGCGAACGGGUGAGUAACACGUGAGUAACCUGCCCUUGACUUUGGGAUAACUUCAGGAAACUGGGGCUAAUACCGGAUAGUAGCUCCUGCUGCAUGGUGGGGGUUGGAAAGUUUUGGCGGGUGGGGAUGGACUCGCGGCUUAUCAGCUUGUUGGUGGGGUAGUGGCUUACCAAGGCUUUGACGGGUAGCCGGACUGAGAGGGUGACCGGGCACAUUGGGACUGAGAUACGGCCCAGACUCCUACGGGAGGCAGCAGUGGGGAAUAUUGCACAAUGGGCGGAAGCCUGAUGCAGCAACGCCGCGUGCGGGAUGACGGCCUUCGGGUUGUAAACCGCUUUCGCCUGUGACGAAGCGUGAGUGACGGUAAUGGGUAAAGAAGCACCGGCUAACUACGUG